RNAcentral lists this ribosomal RNA (449 nucleotides) under uncultured bacterium. RNAcentral describes it as "partial 16S ribosomal RNA". It matches the Rfam family "Bacterial small subunit ribosomal RNA", at positions 329 to 794 of the family's 1533-position model. The record is from RNAcentral.
GUCCAGACUCCUACGGGAGGCAGCAGUGGGGAAUAUUGCACAAUGGGGGAAACCCUGAUGCAGCGACGCCGCGUGAGCGAUGAAGUAUUUCGGUAUGUAAAGCUCUAUCAGCAGGGAAGAGGAUGACGGUACCUGACUAAGAAGCCCCGGCUAACUACGUGCCAGCAGCCGCGGUAAUACGUAGGGGGCAAGCGUUAUCCGGAUUUACUGGGUGUAAAGGGAGCGUAGACGGCGAUGCAAGCCAGAUGUGAAAGCCCGGGGCUCAACCCCGGGACUGCAUUUGGAACUGUGUGGCUGGAGUGUCGGAGAGGGAGGCGGAAUUCCUAGUGUAGCGGUGAAAUGCGUAGAUAUUAGGAGGAACACCAGUGGCGAAGGCGGCCUGCUGGACGAUGACUGACGUUGAGGCUCGAAAGCGUGGGGAGCAAACAGGAUUAGAUACCCCGGUAUAU